CCUACGGGGGGCAGCAGUGGGGAAUAUUGGGCAAUGGAGGCAACUCUGACCCAGCGAUACCGCGUGAAGGAAGAAGGCCUUCGGGUUGUAAACUUCUUUAGACAGGGAAGAAAGAAAUGACAUUACCUGUAGAAUAAGCCACGGCUAACUACGUGCCAGCAGCCGCGGUAAUACGUAGGUGGCAAGCGUUAUCCGGAAUUACUGGGUGUAAAGGGCGCGUAGGUGGGUGCGCAAGUUAGAUGUGAAAUCCCGGGGCUUAACCCCGGACUUGCAUCUAAAACUGUGUAUCUUGAGUGUCAGAGGGGAAAGUGGAAUUCCUAGUGGAGCGGUAAAAUGCGUAGAUAUUAGGAGGAGCAUCGGUGGCGAAGGCGACUUUCUGGCUGACAACUGACACUGAGGCGCGAAAGCGUGGGUAGCGAACAGGAUUAGAUACCCUGGUAGUCCACGCCGUAAACGAUGAUUACUAGGUGUAGGGGGUAUCGACUCCCUCUGUGCCGCAGUUAACGCAUUAAGUAAUCCACCUGGGGAGUACGGCCGCAAGGUUAAAACUCAAAGGAAUUGACGGGGGCCCGCACAAGCAGUGGAGUAUGUGGUUUAAUUCGAAGCAACGCGAAGAACCUUACCAGGGCUUGACAUCCUCUGACCGCUCUAGAGAUAGAGUUUUCUCUUCGGAGACAGAGAGACAGGUGGUGCAUGGUUGUCGUCAGCUCGUGUCGUGAGAUGUUCGGUUAAGUCCGGCAACGAGCGCAACCCUUAUUGUUAGUUGCCAUCAUUAAGUUGGGCACUCUAGCGGGACUGCCGUUGAUA
This 807-nucleotide ribosomal RNA is filed under the name uncultured bacterium. RNAcentral describes it as "bacterial SSU rRNA". It matches the Rfam family "Bacterial small subunit ribosomal RNA", at positions 338 to 1160 of the family's 1533-position model. The record is from RNAcentral.